CCUACGGGUGGCAGCAGUAGGGAAUAUUGCUCAAUGGGGGAAACCCUGAAGCAGCAACGCCGCGUGGAGGAUGAAGGUUUUCGGAUUGUAAACUCCUUUUGUUAGAGAAGAUAAUGACGGUAUCUAACGAAUAAGCACCGGCUAACUCCGUGCCAGCAGCCGCGGUAAUACGGAGGGUGCAAGCGUUACUCGGAAUCACUGGGCGUAAAGAGCGCGUAGGCGGGAUAGCAAGUCAGAUGUGAAAUCCUAUGGCUUAACCAUAGAACUGCAUUUGAAACUGUUGUUCUAGAGUAUGGGAGGGGUAGGUGGAAUUCUUGGUGUAGGGGUGAAAUGCGUAGAGAUCAAGAGGAAUACUGAUUGCGAAGGCGACCUGCUAGAACGUAACUGACGCUGAUGCGCGAAAGCGUGGGGAGCAAACAGGAUUAGAUACCCCUGUAGUC
Molecule: ribosomal RNA, 440 nt
Filed under: uncultured bacterium
Lineage: Bacteria
Description: partial 16S ribosomal RNA
Rfam family: Bacterial small subunit ribosomal RNA
Source: RNAcentral